CAUUGUAACUAAGGCAAUUUGCUGAUAAGUAAUAUUGUAUAUGCUUUUUAUUUUUUUUAUAUUGUGGAAAUGUGUUAUUCUGUAGUAUACCUGUAGAUGGCGAACUACGAGAGCGUAUAAAAGUUAAGUAGUUAUCCGUAACUCAGCAGCUUGAAGAAGGACUGUGUUAAGGCCUGAAAUGUUGCUUGUUGUCGGAGAUCCAAGCCAUGAAUUUCCAAUAAAGGCUUUUUACAUUUUUCACUUUGGACGGUGCUGGGACUUCUACUAUUAUCUCCUGAAUAACAUCCAAGAAGAAAGGAAAUAUCUACAGAGAAAGAACCAGUGGAAACUACUGCUCCAACAGAACCAUCUCCUUUCAAGCUGCCACAAACCAGCCAGAGGUGACUUCAAAAUCAGCAGUGUCCUAGCCCCCAUCCAAAGCUUGAAUAUGCUGACAUUCCUUAAGAUGAAUGAGUUCUGGAUAAUUGGGAAUAUCCAAGUGCCCAUUGCUAAUAUCACAGAGUAGCCUUGACUUCUCCUCGCAGAUGUUUUGCCUAUUCCUUCUGUGGCUGACAUCUGUGUUGCUGCUGCUAUUGUUGCACUGUGGGCAAUCUUUUUUUCUGGUGGGGCCUGUCAAGUCCUACUGUCUGUUGUUGCCUGUCUAUCUGGCUGCCAUCUGUAAAAGCUGUCUAGAAAACUAGCCAUAAGUAAUGCAAUUUUUAUUUUGGCAAGACCUAGCUAUCACACUAGGUCCUACUCCCUAUCCUGCAAUUUGUAGAAGCUGUACUCCUUGCACUCUUUAGGGAUAAUUACUCUGAAUCAUGGUCCUGGUGCACAUGGUGAAUGGAAAUGGUGAAGUUAUUAAAGAUUUCAUGGUGUUUGGUUACCGAUUUAUCACCACUUAAAUACUAAUCCAUUGUAUUCAAAGGUAUAAAUGUAAUAAAAGUGAAACAGAAGAAUAAAAAUACGCAUUUAAAAAUGUGAUAUUCUCCAUUAUCGCACAAUGAACAAGAGCAUUGGAACAUGUAUUAUGGCUUUCUCUUUCUGGCAUGGUAAAUGGUUUUUGCACAAAGAAUACAUUUUUCCUUUAAUUACUUUAUUACAGUAUAUUCUUCAGAUAAAUGUCCUGUCUGUUUCCCGAUUUCCAAAUGUAAGCUUCUAAAUUCACCAUUUUCUUUUUUUGGUGGUGCAUAUUUCUUUUUUUGCCACUAGAUGGCGAUAGCAGUUUAUUGUUCAUGCACCUUACUUGUGCUGCUCUACAGAUCGAUUCCAAAGUGGCAUAAUAUGAUGUAUGUAAUGGAGGAUAGUAUAAACCCAGUAAUUCUUGUAAAAGCAUGUAAACAUCCAAGAGCUGAUUUGACUUGCAAUCAGGGAAAAUUUAAGAUAAAAGUCUGUUGAAUAAACUCA
This is a long non-coding RNA of Xenopus tropicalis (tropical clawed frog), 1386 nucleotides long. RefSeq lists it as uncharacterized. The transcript has 2 exons. The record is from RefSeq and is a predicted model, not a curated record. NCBI's taxonomy places the organism in Eukaryota, Metazoa, Chordata, Amphibia, Anura, Pipidae.